UACAGAGGGUGCGAGCGUUAAUCGGAAUUACUGGGCGUAAAGCGUGCGUAGACGGCUAUCUAAGUCGGGUGUGAAAGCCCCGGGCUCAACCUGGGAAUUGCAUUCGAGACUGAAUAGCUAGGGUACGGUAGAGGGAAGCGGAAUUUCCGGUGUAGCGGUGAAAUGCGUAGAUAUUCGGAAGAACACCAGUGGCGAAGGCGACUGACUGGACAAGUAUUGACGCUGAGGUACGAAAGCGUGGGGAGCAAACAGG
Molecule: ribosomal RNA, 253 nt
Filed under: uncultured bacterium
Lineage: Bacteria
Description: partial 16S ribosomal RNA
Rfam family: Bacterial small subunit ribosomal RNA
Source: RNAcentral